RNAcentral lists this unclassified non-coding RNA (911 nucleotides) under Arabidopsis thaliana (thale cress). The record is from RNAcentral. Lineage: Eukaryota; Viridiplantae; Streptophyta; Magnoliopsida; Brassicales; Brassicaceae.
AUUGACGUUCAGUAUGUUGUUUAACAAGUUCGUAAACUUUUAUGUUAUUUUGAAAGAGGAAUUCAAGCGCCUACGAGGGAAAACUGUGCUUUGCAUACAAAAACAAACAGCUUUGGACAAGCAUAUAGGCUUGGAUCCGGUUAACUGGUUAAGUAAGAUUUCCAGAUUCUUAAGCUGAAAAAUCUAGAUUCAAUGAAGCAAUUCAGUUGCCUCGAAAAAUGAAGGGUCAGAACGUUUGUGGUGUUUAUGAAUCUCUCCGUUUGGAUGAAAACCGAGUAAACAACCUAUGCACUGAUUUUUAUAUAACGUUUGGGAAAUAUUUGAACUUAUUUGAUCUUUAUUUUUUAAGGUAAAAUACUAAAGAUUUUAGAGAUAAGAUGUUAGCUGUUAGAGAAGCUUUUUGGACACGAGACGACCACUUGAUAUUCCCUCGGCACUUCCUUUUAAGGACUAAAAGGAAAAAAUGCGAGCCAACAAUCAAUCUCGCAUUAGAGUAGACUCUGGAGAAUUCUGAAUUCGUCGUAAGUUUCUUUCUUCACAUAAUUUUUUCUAGUUUUAUCUAUUGUUCCAUGUGUUCAGUUAGACAAUUAGGGUCCUGAUUACUCUGCUUAUAUAUAGUUUACUGCUAACAGCAUUGUUUUGCUUUCAAGAAAGAGGGUUUUUUAUGCAGAGAAACAUAACUUCAAGAAGAGAUUUAUCUGCCAAUGAGAAAAUGAAAGGUCAGGUAAACAAAUAAACUCCUAAUACAUACUACUUUCAAAAUACACUCAAACGCAACAACCUCAAAUACAACAUAACAAACGAGCAGGAAAAAAACACACACCACAAAGUAAAUAAAUCACAACGUCGUGUGAGUUUCUAUAUUAUACAUGUAAAACGUUGUGUAAACCAAUAUACAUUCUUUAAAAACU